Molecule: long non-coding RNA, 710 nt
Organism: Mesocricetus auratus (golden hamster)
Lineage: Eukaryota; Metazoa; Chordata; Mammalia; Rodentia; Cricetidae
Exons: 3
Source: RefSeq, a predicted model, not a curated record
UCCUCUUCUCAGUCUCUUUGUGAUUGCUGAACCAUUAGAGAUCAGAUGUGACUUCUCACUGAGAAAUCAAGCCCCGUCGCAGAGGGACUUCAUGAGUCAGCCAGCCACGGUGUCACCUACUGAGUGGUUUUCCCUUUGUGUACAGUGUGAAAAUGUCCAUGGAGAACGGAGGGAUCCAGAUUCCAGGGACAGAGAUUCACUGAAUGGAUGCAUCAUCACUUUUGUGCAGACACACUUUCCCAUCCGAAAGUGAGGGGCUUGGGGGGUUACUACAAGGAAUUUGAGGACAUACUCUUCCUUGACCUACAAAAUCAAAUACUUAAGAUUUCUCUGUAAGUUAACCCAGGAACCAGAGACAACUCGGUAUUGACAAAGGGUGGGUCAGCGAGAUACACAUAAGAGGAGUUCCAUAAGGAGCCUGCAGGGGUUAGAAAAGGGCAUCCGGGUCCCUGGAACUGGAAUUGCAGGCAUUGUAGAUGCUGGGAACAGAACCUGGGUCCUCUGGAAAAGCAGCAAGUGCUCCUAACCCCUGAUUCAUCUCUCCAGGCCCUAUGUUAUUUGUAUAUAUCAUCAGCACUGAAUAUCCAUGGCUUCUGUAUCCGUUGACACAACCAACCAAGGAUACAAAAUAUCUGGAAAGAAAAUUGCAUCUUCAUUGAACACAGAAUUUUCUUGAUAUUAAAUUCUCUAAGCAAGCACGUACCAACUAU